RNAcentral lists this long non-coding RNA (505 nucleotides) under Marmota monax (woodchuck). Lineage: Eukaryota; Metazoa; Chordata; Mammalia; Rodentia; Sciuridae. The record is from RNAcentral.
GUUUGAGGCCAGCCUCAGCAACUUAGCAAAACCAACCCCGUCAGAAAAUAAAAAAUAAAAAAAGCUGGGGAUGUAGCUCAGUGGUAGAGCACCCCUGGGUUCAAUCUCCAGUACAAGAACUCAAAAAAAAAAAAAAGAAGAAGAAGAAGAAGAAGAAGGAGGAGGAGGAGGAGGAGGAGGAGGAAGAAGAAAAGAAGCUUCUUCGAGGUUCCUCACUUUGCUUCAGCUUAGCUCUGACAAAAUAAUACUUUCAUCCUCCAUAUUGACCCAGGACUCUUGAAUUCCUAGCAUGAGCAAGACAGUGGGACACGCGUCUGUGCACGUCUAUUGCCCACGCACAGACACCUUCCCAAGGCCCCACCUCUCAGGCCAUUCCUGUCUCUGAAUCCCAGAUUUAGGAGACAUCGGGUAAUGUGAAGUCACUGGUCACAUGUUCUCUCUCCGGGUCCCACAUCAUCCAGAGGCUGAUGGCCAAGUCCUCUCUCUGAUCUCAACACAAGAAAAC